UGCAUCGGCCGGGAAUCGAACCCGGGCCCGCCCACGUGGCAGGCGAGCAUUCUACCACUGAACCACCGAUGG
RNAcentral lists this transfer RNA (72 nucleotides) under Cordylochernes scorpioides. Its description in RNAcentral is "tRNA-Gly". Lineage: Eukaryota; Metazoa; Arthropoda; Arachnida; Pseudoscorpiones; Chernetidae. The record is from RNAcentral.